This is a long non-coding RNA of Dipodomys spectabilis (banner-tailed kangaroo rat), 779 nucleotides long. RefSeq lists it as uncharacterized. NCBI's taxonomy places the organism in Eukaryota, Metazoa, Chordata, Mammalia, Rodentia, Heteromyidae. The transcript is spliced from 5 exons. The record is from RefSeq and is a predicted model, not a curated record.
ACGCGCUGCGCGUGCUAAGCUUCUAGCUACGGCGGGCCUCGCAGUGGAGGUUGGGGGGGCUCGUUGUCGCGCAUGGCAGUCAUCCGCCUCCAUCGGGGACCCCAGUCGAUGCCGGCCGGUGCUCUGAAAAGAUCGAAGAUUUCACGAAACCGGGACGGCUGACACACAGCAGAUUAUCCGGAACAUGGACUGUCCAGGAGUUGUCGAUAAACACCCUUGCCCUGUCAUCAGGAAAUCAGAAGUGGAGAGUUACUGCCAUCUGACAGUCUCCCUAACAGCUUGGGCUGGUCUCCAUGAAACUGGCAGGCUACCUUGUUAGCUGCAAGGAGUAACAUCUCACACCUCACAGCCCCCUUCUCCCAGGGCCUCUACUGUAUGUCAUUGCACCAGCACACACAAAGCGGUCAUCCCUUCCUCAGUGUUUCAGCAGUAAUCCCAGUUUGCCAGAGCUAGAAGAGCCCUGAGGUGGGUGGAGCAGCCCACAAAUCAUCACAACUGUGCAGUGUCUGGUGGGCCACUCUAUGGAGUCUGGUCUGUAUAGGGCAUGCCUUGGUAUUUGUCAUGGAUAUGGAGACAUGAGCCCUGGCUAUGAACACCUAAUGAAAGUGGGAACAAAAUUUGCAGCUUAAUUAUCCAGAUAGAUUUCAAGCCCUGCCUGCUUGCCUUCUAGAAGGAAUCAACAGUUUCAUGUUCUUGGUCCAGGGUAGUGUAUCUCAGGUCCUCCAGCAUCUCCUGAAUGGAAAACAAAAGAUACUUAAUAAAUGUAGCUUUAAAUACCA